CCUACGGGAGGCAGCAGUGGGGGAUAUUGCACAAUGGGGGGAACCCUGAUGCAGCGACGCCGCGUGGGUGAAGAAGCGCCUCGGCGCGUAAAGCCCUGUCAGCAGGGAAGAAAAUGACGGUACCUGAAGAAGAAGCCCCGGCUAACUACGUGCCAGCAGCCGCGGGAAUACGUAGGGGGCAAGCGUUAUCCGGAUUUACUGGGUGUAAAGGGGGCGCAGACGGCGAUGCAAGCCAGGAGUGAAAGCCCGGGGCCCAACCCCGGGACUGCUCUUGGAACUGCGUGGCUGGAGUGCAGGAGGGGCAGGCGGAAGUCCUGGGGUAGCGGUGAAAUGCGUAGAUAUCAGGAGGAACACCGGUGGCGAAGGCGGCCUGCUGGACUGCAACUGACGUUGAGGCCCGAAAGCGUGGGGAGCAAACAGGAUUAGAUACCCCAGUAGUC
RNAcentral lists this ribosomal RNA (440 nucleotides) under uncultured bacterium. RNAcentral's name for it is "partial 16S ribosomal RNA". It matches the Rfam family "Bacterial small subunit ribosomal RNA", at positions 338 to 795 of the family's 1533-position model. The record is from RNAcentral.